AUACGGAGGGUGCAAGCGUUGUCCGGAUUUAUUGGGUUUAAAGGGUACGUAGGUGGAUUCUUAAGUCCGUGGUGAAAGCCCGCAGCUCAACUGCGGAACUGCCAUGGAUACUGGGAAUCUUGAAUUCAGUUGAGGUUGGCGGAAUUUAUGGUGUAGCGGUGAAAUGCAUAGAUACCAUAAAGAACACCUAUUGCGAAGGCAGCUAACUGGACUUGAAUUGACACUGAGGUACGAAAGCGUGGGGAGCGGACAGGAUUAGAAACCCCAGUAGUCC
Molecule: ribosomal RNA, 274 nt
Filed under: uncultured bacterium
Lineage: Bacteria
Description: partial 16S ribosomal RNA
Rfam family: Bacterial small subunit ribosomal RNA
Source: RNAcentral